UACGAAGGUCCCAAGCGUUGUUCGGAAUCACUGGGCGUAAAGGGAGCGUAGGCUGUGAGGUAAGUCGGGUGUGAAAUCCCGGGGCUCAACCCCGGAACUGCACUCGAUACUGCUUUACUAGAGGACUGGAGAGGAGAUUGGAAUUCUCGGUGUAGCAGUGAAAUGCGUAGAUAUCGAGAGGAACACCUGUGGCGAAAGCGGCGAUCUGGGAAGAUACUGACGCUGAGGUGCGAAAGCGUGGGGAGCAAACAGG
RNAcentral lists this ribosomal RNA (253 nucleotides) under uncultured bacterium. RNAcentral describes it as "partial 16S ribosomal RNA". It matches the Rfam family "Bacterial small subunit ribosomal RNA", at positions 524 to 776 of the family's 1533-position model. The record is from RNAcentral.